Molecule: transfer RNA, 87 nt
Filed under: Pelagimonas varians
Lineage: Bacteria; Pseudomonadati; Pseudomonadota; Alphaproteobacteria; Rhodobacterales; Roseobacteraceae
Also listed under: 18 other names
Description: tRNA-Leu
Rfam family: tRNA
About the family: Transfer RNA (tRNA) molecules are approximately 80 nucleotides in length.
Source: RNAcentral
GCCCAGAUGGCGGAAUUGGUAGACGCGCUGGCUUCAGGUGCCAGUGACCGCAAGGUCGUGGAGGUUCGAGUCCUCUUCUGGGCACCA